CCACCCAAAAUAUCUUAUAUCUUUUUUCACCAUAUAAAAUUAGUUUGUGUAUAAGAAAACAAUAAACUAACCCUUCUUUUGUCACCUAUUAAGGAUAGGAUUUGGUUAGUUUUUAAUUGAAUUCAAAAUGGUUUGAAUUUCAACCUAAAACCCUAUCCCUAUCCUUCUACACGUUGGCUUCUUUUGAAGGCACCCAUUGUAUAGGAGAAAAGGAAGUGUUCUUGAUUGUUUUUGAUACCCAAAUUUCUUUGGUAAGUCUCUAUUUAAGUUAGAUAAGGG
Molecule: long non-coding RNA, 279 nt
Filed under: Elaeis guineensis (African oil palm)
Lineage: Eukaryota; Viridiplantae; Streptophyta; Magnoliopsida; Arecales; Arecaceae
Description: long non-coding RNA (EGUI_LNC077515)
Source: RNAcentral